UCAACAACUGACUAUUUGAUCAAUAUUGA
Molecule: small RNA, 29 nt
Filed under: Bombyx mori (domestic silkworm)
Lineage: Eukaryota; Metazoa; Arthropoda; Insecta; Lepidoptera; Bombycidae
Description: ovarian small RNA-24532
Source: RNAcentral